CUUGUUUAUGCGGUUUGUGUUUGUUUUUGUUGCUACUCCAGCCGCAGAUUUUACUUUUCAUUGUGCGAAAUUACUCACAAGAAAAGAUUUAACAAUUUGUGAGCUCCAAAGGGAAAGUGCAACUGAUUCUGAUCUGCAUUUCUUCGAGCG
Long non-coding RNA from Drosophila ananassae, 150 nucleotides. RefSeq lists it as uncharacterized. The record is from RefSeq and is a predicted model, not a curated record. Lineage: Eukaryota; Metazoa; Arthropoda; Insecta; Diptera; Drosophilidae. The transcript is spliced from 2 exons.